CACAGUCAGGUAACUAAGAGAAAGGGCCAAGCUUCCUCUCAAAGCCAGAUCCCUCAAAGGGGAGGCAGAUAAAUGGAUAACAGAAAUGUCCGUGUGAUAACUGAAUUCAUCCUCCUGGGGCUGGCUGACAACCCUGAACUGAAUACUGUCGUCUUUGUGCUGGUUCUCUUGAUCCGUCUCAUCACUAUGGAAUUCUUCUCACUAUCCUGAAGAUGAAAUCUACCGGGAGCAGAUAAAAAGCCAUCUGCACAUGUAUCUCCCACCUAAUGGUAGUGACUCUUGUCUAUGGAACAGUGUGAUAUUUACUUACCUGGGAACUAGCUCCAGCUGUCCACAGGAUACAGCCAAAAUCCUGUCCGUGCUGUAUACCCUUUUGCUGCCAAUACUAAAUCUUCUGAUAAACAGUGUGAGAAACACAGAAGCCAAAAAAGCAAUUAAAAGAAUUAUUAAGAGAAAAAUAUUUCCUCAGUGACCAUGAAUUUUCAAGUAUAAAUA
This 495-nucleotide long non-coding RNA is filed under the name Equus asinus (donkey). RNAcentral describes it as "lncRNA (ENSEASG00005029915.1)". Lineage: Eukaryota; Metazoa; Chordata; Mammalia; Perissodactyla; Equidae. The record is from RNAcentral.